UUUCCGUUGAUCCUGCCGGACCCGACUGCUAUCAGAGUGGGACUAAGCCAUGCGAGUCAACAUAGCAAUAUGUGGCAUACGGCUCAGUAACACGUAGUCAACAUGCCCAGGGGACGUGGAUAACCUCGGGAAACUGAGGAUAAACCGCGAUAAGUCACUACUUCUGGAAUGGGUAAUGACUCAAAUCUACAUGGCCCCUGGAUUGGACUGCGGCCGAUCAGGCUGUUGGUGAGGUAAUGGCCCACCAAACCUGUAACCGGUACGGGCUCUGAGAGGAGGAGCCCGGAGAUGGGCACUGAGACAAGGGCCCAGGCCCUAUGGGGCGCAGCAGGCGCGAAACCUCUGCAAUAGGCGAAAGCCUGACAGGGUUACUCUGAGUGAUUUCCGUUAAGGAGAUCUUUUGGCACCUCUAAAAAUGGUGCAGAAUAAGGGGUGGGCAAGUCUGGUGUCAGCCGCCGCGGUAAUACCAGCACCCCGAGUGGUCGGGACGUUUAUUGGGCCUAAAGCAUCCGUAGCCGGUUCUACAAGUCUUCCGUUAAAUCCACCUGCUUAACAGAUGGGCUGCGGAAGAUACUAUAGAGCUAGGAGGCGGGAGAGGCAAGCGGUACUCGAUGGGUAGGGGUAAAAUCCGUUGAUCCAUUGAAGACCACCAGUGGCGAAGGCGGCUUGCCAGAACGCGCUCGACGGUGAGGGAUGAAAGCUGGGGGAGCAAACCGGAUUAGAUACCCGGGUAGUCCCAGCUGUAAACGAUGCAGACUCGGUGAUGAGUUGGCUUCUUGCCAACUCAGUGCCGCAGGGAAGCCGUUAAGUUUGCCGCCUGGGGAGUACGGUCGCAAGACUGAAACUUAAAGGAAUUGGCGGGGGGAGCA
Molecule: ribosomal RNA, 869 nt
Filed under: uncultured archaeon
Lineage: Archaea
Description: bacterial SSU rRNA
Rfam family: Archaeal small subunit ribosomal RNA
Source: RNAcentral